AUGCACAUGAUGAGUCAACUCGGAUUCCCCUUCAAGACUAUUGGGUGAUGACAACUCGAGUUUUCUGAUGCU
Small nucleolar RNA from Alnus glutinosa, 72 nucleotides. RefSeq annotates it as small nucleolar RNA snoR60. Lineage: Eukaryota; Viridiplantae; Streptophyta; Magnoliopsida; Fagales; Betulaceae. The transcript has a single exon. The record is from RefSeq and is a predicted model, not a curated record.